UAGUUAUCAGAUCACCCAAAAUUCGACCAAUCACGAUCAUUCUCACUUAUUUAACGGUCAUUGUUCUUCGGGAAAGUGAACGCUGCAGCACGUAGGUCGACGAUGCCGUAAAAAUAAUAUUAAGAGUGAAAAUAAUGAGUGGAAGAUCGGAGAAGAAAUCUGUUCGUUUAUCCACGUCCAUCCAUCCAUCCAUCCAUCGAUCGAUCUAUCAAUCAGAGUUCUACAUCGGAGAACAUCUUUGGCAAAGUAUUUGUAGACGCGUUACAUCGAAUUUGUUCGUAAAAGAGACAAAGUGAAUAGAACAGAACGAUAGGACGAAUGAUACGAUAGAAUGGCGAAGAUUGAUUAUAUCCAAAGAUGAUGAAGAUUAUAACUACAGGAUAGAACAAAAAAAAAAGAGAAAGAAAGAAAGGAAAAGAAGAGGAAAAACAGAAGGAAAGAAGACUUUUUGUGAUCUCUUUGGGAACUUUCUAGCUUCUAUAUUAUAUCAUUAUCAUCUUUCAAUCUUUCAAUCAAAAUUGAAAUGAGAACUAGCAAAUAUUGGAAACAAUAUGGUCGUAGGAAGUUAAUCGAAUCCUUCUUUAUUUCCUGAAGGAAGAUGAAAAUAUUUGUUGAAUGCUAUGUGAUAAAGGAAAGCAAUGGUCCGCCAUAUGGCGUUCGCGAAACCGAAGUCUUUCUCAGUGGUUAUAUUACUAAAGUUCCUUUAUUUCUCUUUCACUCUACGGUGAGAUAGAUAGAGAAAGAAAGAAAGAGAUAGAUAAAUAGAUAGAUAGAUAAAUAGAUAGAGAGAGAGAGAGAAAAGAGAAAGAGAAAGAUAGAAUUGUGACCAGGAUUUCAUCUGUCAACAUCUGUUUCCUUGGUUGAACAUGAGAUUCCAUUACUUGGAAACGUCCUGAAGGAGUAAACGAAGAAGAAGAAGAAGAAGAAAACUAUGGGAUCGUAUCCUCUACCUGUCCAUAUACUUUAGCUCCCAUAAGAGAUACCCUACCACAAAGAUCUAGAUCUCUCUUUGUUCCCUAAAUCUCUUACAUGAAGAUAUAAAGUGGGAGAAGGAUAACGUAUGUUUGUAUGUGUAUAAUGGGUAUGAGUCCUCCUACAUGUUUUUUCAUCGAAACGACGGAUUUUCAUCAUAGGAUUUCUUAUAUAGAAAGGAGAGCAUACCAGAAGAUCAGUUGGCAGAGUUAUUGGUAAAAGAAAAAGUAAAUAAAUAAACGACCAGAAAGAAAAAUUGAUAAAACCAGCUCGCGCUAUUAAUAAUAUAUCCGACGAGUCCGAGGUAUCAACGAACGAAAUAUUUUUCUAUGGAAAUUGUUGCAAUUGGCAGUAAUUAUCGAUAAGAAGAUUA
Long non-coding RNA from Vespula vulgaris, 1345 nucleotides. RefSeq lists it as uncharacterized. Lineage: Eukaryota; Metazoa; Arthropoda; Insecta; Hymenoptera; Vespidae. The transcript has 6 exons. The record is from RefSeq and is a predicted model, not a curated record.